AGAGUUUGAUCCUGGCUCAGGAUGAACGCUGGCGGUCUGCUUAACACAUGCAAGUCGAACGGAUGCUUCGGCAUCAGUGGCGGACGGGUGAGUAACGCGUGAGAAUCUGCCCUCAGGACGGGGACAACGACUGGAAACGGUCGCUAAUACCCGAUGUGCCGAGAGGUGAAAGAAAUUCGCCUGAGGAUGAGCUCGCGUCGGAUUAGCUAGUUGGGGAGGUAACGGCUCACCAAGGCGACGAUCCGUAGCUGGUCUGAGAGGAUGAUCAGCCACACUGGGACUGAGACACGGCCCAGACUCCUACGGGAGGCAGCAGUGGGGAAUUUUUCUCAAUGGGGGCAACCCUGAAGGAGCGACGCCGCGUGGAGGAUGAAGGUCUUCGGAUUGUAAACUCCUGUCAUUAGGGAACAAACCUUCCGGUUAACUGCCGGAAAGCUGAUAGUACCUGAAGAGGAAGGGACGGCUAACUCUGUGCCAGCCGCCGCGGUAAUUC
This 493-nucleotide ribosomal RNA is filed under the name uncultured bacterium. RNAcentral describes it as "bacterial SSU rRNA". It matches the Rfam family "Bacterial small subunit ribosomal RNA", at positions 8 to 526 of the family's 1533-position model. The record is from RNAcentral.